GCCUCCCGUUCAGCUGCCGACUUAAGUUGGUCGAGGGCAACCACCUUCUCAGCAUUGACAGUCGCUACCUUAUUCAUCUAUGUCUGAUGGAAGUCGUCGAACUUUACGUAGUCGGCUUCCAAGUCGAACAUGUCAUGGACCAACUGCAAAUCAAAAAUGAAUCGAGUCAAAGAAAAAAGAAAAAAAAGAAAAAGCAGCUUGCAGCUUACCCCG
This 213-nucleotide long non-coding RNA is filed under the name Elaeis guineensis (African oil palm). RNAcentral's name for it is "long non-coding RNA (EGUI_LNC001603)". The record is from RNAcentral. Lineage: Eukaryota; Viridiplantae; Streptophyta; Magnoliopsida; Arecales; Arecaceae.